This 253-nucleotide ribosomal RNA is filed under the name uncultured bacterium. RNAcentral's name for it is "partial 16S ribosomal RNA". It matches the Rfam family "Bacterial small subunit ribosomal RNA", at positions 524 to 776 of the family's 1533-position model. The record is from RNAcentral.
CACGGGGGGAGCAAGCGUUGUUCGGAAUCACUGGGCGUAAAGGGCGUGUAGGCGGUCAAGUAAGUGGAAUGUGAAAGCCCCCGGCUUACCCGGGGAUCUGCAUCCCAAACUGCUUGGCUUGAGUACGGGAGAGGAUAGGGGAAUUCCUGGUGUAGCGGUGAAAUGCGCAGAUAUCAGGAGGAACACCGAUGGCGAAGGCAGGUCUCUGGGCCGAUACUGACGCUGAGGAGCGAAAGCGUGGGGAGCGAACAGG